UACGGAGGGGGCAAGCGUUGUCCGGAUUUAUUGGGCGUAAAGAGCGUGUAGGCGGCUUCACAGGUCUGCUGUGAAAACUCGAGGCUCAACCUCGAGCUGUCGGUGGAAACCGUGGGGCUAGAGUCCGGAAGAGGAGAGUGGAAUUCCCGGUGUAGCGGUGAAAUGCGCAGAUAUCGGGAAGAACACCCGUGGCGAAGGCGGCUCUCUGGGACGGUACUGACGCUGAGACGCGAAAGCGUGGGGAGCAAACAGG
Molecule: ribosomal RNA, 253 nt
Filed under: uncultured bacterium
Lineage: Bacteria
Description: partial 16S ribosomal RNA
Rfam family: Bacterial small subunit ribosomal RNA
Source: RNAcentral